RNAcentral lists this ribosomal RNA (720 nucleotides) under gamma proteobacterium PM20. Its description in RNAcentral is "bacterial SSU rRNA". It matches the Rfam family "Bacterial small subunit ribosomal RNA", at positions 66 to 780 of the family's 1533-position model. Lineage: Bacteria; Pseudomonadati; Pseudomonadota; Gammaproteobacteria. The record is from RNAcentral.
GCGGGGAAAGGUAGCUUGCUACCUGACCUAGCGGCGGACGGGUGAGUAAUGCUUAGGAAUCUGCCUAUUAGUGGGGGACAACAUUCCGAAAGGAAUGCUAAUACCGCAUACGCCCUACGGGGGAAAGCAGGGGAUCUUCGGACCUUGCGCUAAUAGAUGAGCCUAAGUCAGAUUAGCUAGUUGGUGGGGUAAAGGCCUACCAAGGCGACGAUCUGUAGCGGGUCUGAGAGGAUGAUCCGCCACACUGGGACUGAGACACGGCCCAGACUCCUACGGGAGGCAGCAGUGGGGAAUAUUGGACAAUGGGCGAAAGCCUGAUCCAGCCAUGCCGCGUGUGUGAAGAAGGCCUUUUGGUUGUAAAGCACUUUAAGCGAGGAGGAGGCUACUUGGAUUAAUACUCUAGGAUAGUGGACGUUACUCGCAGAAUAAGCACCGGCUAACUCUGUGCCAGCAGCCGCGGUAAUACAGAGGGUGCGAGCGUUAAUCGGAUUUACUGGGCGUAAAGCGUGCGUAGGCGGCUUCUUAAGUCGGAUGUGAAAUCCCUGAGCUUAACUUAGGAAUUGCAUUCGAUACUGGGAAGCUAGAGUAUGGGAGAGGAUGGUAGAAUUCCAGGUGUAGCGGUGAAAUGCGUAGAGAUCUGGAGGAAUACCGAUGGCGAAGGCAGCCAUCUGGCCUAAUACUGACGCUGAGGUACGAAAGCAUGGGGAGCAAACAGGAUUA